GCCGGGAUAGUCUAGCCCGGAAAGGCGGUGGCCUUGAAAGCCACUGGUGUUUCACCUCAGGAGUUCAAAUCUCCUUCCCGGCG
Molecule: transfer RNA, 83 nt
Filed under: Methanogenium sp. MK-MG
Lineage: Archaea; Methanobacteriati; Methanobacteriota; Methanomicrobia; Methanomicrobiales; Methanomicrobiaceae
Description: tRNA-Ser (TGA) (tRNA-Ser-TGA-1-1)
Rfam family: tRNA
About the family: Transfer RNA (tRNA) molecules are approximately 80 nucleotides in length. Their secondary structure includes four short double-helical elements and three loops (D, anti-codon, and T loops).
Source: RNAcentral